GUUCGGAUUGCAGUCUGCAACUCGACUGCAUGAAGCUGGAAUCGCUAGUAAUCGCGAAUCAGCAUGUCGCGGUGAAUACGUUCCCGGGUCUUGUACACACCGCCCGUCACACCAUGGGAGUCGGAAAUGCCCGAAGCCAGUGACCCAACCUUUAAGGAGGGAGCUGUCGAAGGCAGGUCUGGUAACUGGGGUGAAGUCGUAACAAGGUACC
Molecule: ribosomal RNA, 211 nt
Filed under: uncultured bacterium
Lineage: Bacteria
Description: partial 16S ribosomal RNA
Rfam family: Bacterial small subunit ribosomal RNA
Source: RNAcentral